UACGAAGGGGGCUAGCGUUGCUCGGAAUCACUGGGCGUAAAGCGCACGUAGGCGGCUUCUUAAGUCAGGGGUGAAAUCCCGGAGCUCAACUCCGGAACUGCCUUUGAUACUGGGGAUCUUGAGUCCGGGAGAGAUGAGUGGAACUGCGAGUGUAGAGGUGAAAUUCGUAGAUAUUCGCAAGAACACCAGUGGCGAAGGCGGCUCACUGGCCCGGUACUGACGCUGAGGUGCGACAGCGUGGGGAGCAAACAGG
Molecule: ribosomal RNA, 253 nt
Filed under: uncultured bacterium
Lineage: Bacteria
Description: partial 16S ribosomal RNA
Rfam family: Bacterial small subunit ribosomal RNA
Source: RNAcentral